Phyllostomus discolor (pale spear-nosed bat) is the source of this 99-nucleotide long non-coding RNA. RefSeq lists it as uncharacterized. The record is from RefSeq and is a predicted model, not a curated record. The transcript has 3 exons. NCBI's taxonomy places the organism in Eukaryota, Metazoa, Chordata, Mammalia, Chiroptera, Phyllostomidae.
AAAUUCUGGUUUCCAGACCACAGUGAUAGUCCCCCUCAUCCUCAGGCUGGGCCCCCGAGAUGGUGAGGACAGCUUUGUCCCCAGAGAUGGAUCCAGAGA